Molecule: ribosomal RNA, 206 nt
Filed under: uncultured bacterium
Lineage: Bacteria
Description: partial 16S ribosomal RNA
Rfam family: Bacterial small subunit ribosomal RNA
Source: RNAcentral
GGAUUGUAGUCUGCAACCCGACUACAUGAAGCUGGAAUCGCUAGUAAUCGCGGAUCAGAAUGCCGCGGUGAAUACGUUCCCGGGUCUUGUACACACCGCCCGUCACACCAUGGGAGCCGGGAAUGCCCGAAGUCGGUGACCUAACCUUUAAGGGGGAGCCGCCGAAGGCAGGUCUGGUAACUGGGGUGAAGUCGUAACAAGGUAUC